UGGGGAAUAAUGCACAAUGGAGGGAACUCUGAUGCAGCGACGCCGCGUGAACGAAGAAGGCUUUCGAGUCGUAAAGUUCUUUUAUAUGGGAAGAUAAUGACGGUACCAUAAGAAAAAGCCCCGGCUAACUACGUGCCAGCAGCCGCGGUAAUACGUAGGGGGCUAGCGUUGUCCGGAAUCACUGGGCGUAAAGGGUUCGCAGGCGGAAAUGCAAGUCAGGUGUAAAAGGCAGUAGCUUAACUACUGUAAGCAUUUGAAACUGCAUAUCUUGAGAAGAGUAGAGGUAAGUGGAAUUUUUAGUGUAGCGGUGAAAUGCGUAGAUAUUAAAAAGAAUACCGGUGGCGAAGGCGACUUACUGGGCUCAUUCUGACGCUGAGGAACGAAAGCGUGGGUAGCAAACAGG
This 403-nucleotide ribosomal RNA is filed under the name bacterium. Its description in RNAcentral is "partial 16S ribosomal RNA". It matches the Rfam family "Bacterial small subunit ribosomal RNA", at positions 355 to 776 of the family's 1533-position model. The record is from RNAcentral.